UUUAAGUGAAGAGUUUGAUCCUGGCUCAGAGUGAACGCUGGCGGCAGGCCUAACACAUGCAAGUCGAACGGCAGCACAGUAAGAGCUUGCUCUUACGGGUGGCGAGUGGCGGACGG
The sequence is a ribosomal RNA, 116 nucleotides long. It matches the Rfam family "Bacterial small subunit ribosomal RNA", at positions 1 to 105 of the family's 1533-position model.